UACGAGGGGGGCAAAUGUUGUUCGGAAUCACUGGGCGUAAAGGGCGCGUAGGCGGCUUGAUAAGGUUGCGGUGAAAGCCCGGGGCUCAACCCCGGGUCGGCCGUGGCAACUGUCGAGCUGGAGCACUGUAGAGGCAGGUGGAAUUCCGGGUGUAGCGGUGGAAUGCGUAGAGAUCCGGAAGAACACCGGUGGCGAAGGCGGCCUGCUGGGCGGUGGCUGACGCUGAGGCGCGACAGCGUGGGGAGCAAACAGG
This 253-nucleotide ribosomal RNA is filed under the name uncultured bacterium. RNAcentral describes it as "partial 16S ribosomal RNA". It matches the Rfam family "Bacterial small subunit ribosomal RNA", at positions 524 to 776 of the family's 1533-position model. The record is from RNAcentral.